UUGACCUCGGAUCAGGUAGGGAUACCCGCUGAACUUAAGCAUAUCAAUAAGCGGAGGAAAAGAAACCAACCAA
This 73-nucleotide ribosomal RNA is filed under the name Melanelixia epilosa. Its description in RNAcentral is "partial 28S ribosomal RNA". It matches the Rfam family "Eukaryotic large subunit ribosomal RNA", at positions 1 to 72 of the family's 3401-position model. The record is from RNAcentral. Lineage: Eukaryota; Fungi; Ascomycota; Lecanoromycetes; Lecanorales; Parmeliaceae.